RNAcentral lists this ribosomal RNA (778 nucleotides) under Bacillus pumilus. RNAcentral describes it as "bacterial SSU rRNA". It matches the Rfam family "Bacterial small subunit ribosomal RNA", at positions 401 to 1172 of the family's 1533-position model. Lineage: Bacteria; Bacillati; Bacillota; Bacilli; Caryophanales; Bacillaceae. The record is from RNAcentral.
GUGAGUGAUGAAGGUUUUCGGAUCGUAAAGCUCUGUUGUUAGGGAAGAACAAGUGCAAGAGUAACUGCUUGCACCUUGACGGUACCUAACCAGAAAGCCACGGCUAACUACGUGCCAGCAGCCGCGGUAAUACGUAGGUGGCAAGCGUUGUCCGGAAUUAUUGGGCGUAAAGGGCUCGCAGGCGGUUUCUUAAGUCUGAUGUGAAAGCCCCCGGCUCAACCGGGGAGGGUCAUUGGAAACUGGGAAACUUGAGUGCAGAAGAGGAGAGUGGAAUUCCACGUGUAGCGGUGAAAUGCGUAGAGAUGUGGAGGAACACCAGUGGCGAAGGCGACUCUCUGGUCUGUAACUGACGCUGAGGAGCGAAAGCGUGGGGAGCGAACAGGAUUAGAUACCCUGGUAGUCCACGCCGUAAACGAUGAGUGCUAAGUGUUAGGGGGUUUCCGCCCCUUAGUGCUGCAGCUAACGCAUUAAGCACUCCGCCUGGGGAGUACGGUCGCAAGACUGAAACUCAAAGGAAUUGACGGGGGCCCGCACAAGCGGUGGAGCAUGUGGUUUAAUUCGAAGCAACGCGAAGAACCUUACCAGGUCUUGACAUCCUCUGACAACCCUAGAGAUAGGGCUUUCCCUUCGGGGACAGAGUGACAGGUGGUGCAUGGUUGUCGUCAGCUCGUGUCGUGAGAUGUUGGGUUAAGUCCCGCAACGAGCGCAACCCUUGAUCUUAGUUGCCAGCAUUCAGUUGGGCACUCUAAGGUGACUGCCGGUGACAAACCGGAGGAAG